Molecule: ribosomal RNA, 268 nt
Filed under: uncultured bacterium
Lineage: Bacteria
Description: partial 16S ribosomal RNA
Rfam family: Bacterial small subunit ribosomal RNA
Source: RNAcentral
GUUCCUACGGGGCACAGCAGUGGGGAAUAUUGCACAAUGGGGGGAACCCUGAUGCAGCGACGCCGCGUGAGUGAAGAAGGGUUUCGGCUCGUAAAGCCCUGUUGGUAGUGAAGAAAGAUAGAGGUAGUAACUGGCCUUUAUUUGACGGUAAUUACUUAGAAAGUCACGGCUAACUACGUGCCAGCAGCCGCGGUAAUACGUAGGUGGCAAGCGUUGUCCGGAUUUAUUGGGCGUAAAGCGAGUGCAGGCGGGUCAAUAAGUCUGCUGU